GUGAGCUCUGUUAGAGAAAAGAGUGUGUGAACUCUGAAUUAUGAUGAGUGUGUGAGCUCUCAAAUGUUGCAUACACCCACUUCCAUAUACUGAUGGACUGUCCUUGCUAGCUAGCGGGCAAAAUUCUAACUUUGUCCUUGAUUUAGUUUAUUGUACUAGCUAUUUUGGCACUUAUAUGUAUACUUUGUUAGAUAAACUGAUAGAGUGCAUUCAUUUG
RNAcentral lists this long non-coding RNA (217 nucleotides) under Trifolium pratense (red clover). RNAcentral describes it as "long non-coding RNA (TPRA_LNC001689)". The record is from RNAcentral. Lineage: Eukaryota; Viridiplantae; Streptophyta; Magnoliopsida; Fabales; Fabaceae.